GAGAGAUCAUGCUAAAAAUGACAUAAUAGACGUUGUUAACAGUGCAUCUGAGCGAUUGUCUUCUAGGUGUGCAAAGGUGUAUUUUGCAGACAAUAGAGGUGUUUGCUUAUCACGUAAUGGAGAUAUCGACGAAAGUGUAUACAGAGAUAAUGUACACUUAAAUAACCAAACGGGAACGAAAAAACUAGUCGCAAGCUUAAAAAGUCAAAUUCCAGGGCUCAGAAGACAAAGGGAUCCCGCUGUAACUCGGAAAUUCCCAGUCAACAACCGUUUCCAGCAAAGAAGACAAGGCGCUCCUAGCGGAUCCACAGGUAUCCCACAAGCAAGAUAUCAGGCCCCCACAGGCAACCCACAAGCGUACUGUCCACCAACAAACAACCCGAUGUUUCGCCCAUUCCCAGGUAACCCACAGGGGUAUCAGCAACCCACAACUAAUCAACUUCCCACAGGUAGACAGCAGUAUCCAAUGAACUCUCAGCAGCAACAAUUAGAACAAGCCCUAAAAAUUAUUUCUGAAUGUGUAAGGUUAGCCUAUAGAAAUGGAUAAAAAACAUCUCAAAUCACUGAAAAUGUCAACAUGCCAGGUUCACUAACUUCUCGAUAGAGAUCCGCUUGAAUCAGUACAUCUUAAAUUCUGUAAAAUGUUACUAGGAACUGGAAAAACGGCUGUGAACAAUGCGUGCAGAGGGGAACUAGGCAGAUAUCCUCUUUGUAUAAAUGCAACAUAUAGGAACAUAAAAUACUGGACCAACCUUCGGUCAAAAGAAGAGGCCCUCUCAAAAGUAGUUUAUACAGAGUGUGUAAAUAACCCUCACGUGUCCUACUGGACCCACAAAACAAAAGAAAUAAUUUUCAAAGCGGGUUUUGGGUUUAUGUGGCUCUAUCAAAAUGAAACCGACCCUACAUUGUUCCUUGAUAUUUUCUCUAAACGACUUAAUGAUAUGUAUUUUCAGAAAUGGCAUGGGGAAAUUUUCAAUGACCAAAGGAAAAACAGUAAUGAAAUGAACAAACUAAGAACUUAUAGAACUUUUAAAGACAAAUAUGAAUUAGAGAAUUACCUUGUAGCCAUCCCUAAUGUGAAACAUAGAGUUGCGCUAACAAAACUAAGAAUAAGUAAUCACCAAUUGCAAAUUGAGAAAGGCAGACAUACGAGGCCUUACACAAAGGAAAAAGAUCGGAUUUGCCCAACAUGCAAAAAUGACGUGGAAAAUGAAUUUCACUUUCUAGUACAAUGCCAAACAUACAAAGAGCUACGAAAUUCAGUUAUCCAAAAUUUGCAGCGCAAUCAAAUUACACAAAAACGCCUUUUCAAUUUACUAAUAAAUCCGCCAACUCAAUUAGCAGGGAUAGCUGCAAGGUACAUUUCCGAAUGUUUCAAGCUAAGGGAAACGCUAAUA
Molecule: long non-coding RNA, 1397 nt
Organism: Nematostella vectensis (starlet sea anemone)
Lineage: Eukaryota; Metazoa; Cnidaria; Anthozoa; Actiniaria; Edwardsiidae
Exons: 2
Source: RefSeq, a predicted model, not a curated record